AUAGCAAAGCAAGUUAAGAAGAAGGGCAAACAUCCAGCCCUAAAUUUUAAUCAUGGGAGCGGAAGCAGCUUGGAGGAGAAUCUUAUAGUAUACAUUCCAAGACGACCAAUACUUGAAACAGUGAGUGAAACAAUUGGCCUAAAAGUACAAGGCUACACCUGUUGGUAUGUUCAUGAAGGUAUGAUACAAGCAUCCGUACUAAUUGCUAUGCCACGUCAGAUAGAUAGUUUCAUAGAAUCUUCCAUUACAUAUGAAGGAGAGGCAGCUAAUACAGAAGAUGAAGCAAUGGAAAAGGCAGCUCAAGUGGCCUUAGAAUGCAUCUAUGCAGACUAUAAUAUUUCUAUCAAUGACCAUAAUUACUAUGCCCUUGAAGUCACAAAAGAAAGGUUGUUUACAGCAAGAGAAAAGGCUCAAACAAAGCAAUGGUAG
This 429-nucleotide ribosomal RNA is filed under the name Triticum aestivum (bread wheat). RNAcentral's name for it is "partial small subunit ribosomal RNA". The record is from RNAcentral. Lineage: Eukaryota; Viridiplantae; Streptophyta; Magnoliopsida; Poales; Poaceae.